Molecule: ribosomal RNA, 626 nt
Filed under: uncultured fungus
Lineage: Eukaryota; Fungi
Description: eukaryotic LSU rRNA
Rfam family: Eukaryotic large subunit ribosomal RNA
Source: RNAcentral
AUAUCAAUAAGCGGAGGAAAAGAAACUAACAAGGAUUCCCCUAGUAACUGCGAGUGAAGCGGGAAAAGCUCAAAUUUGAAAUCUGGCGGUCCUUGGCCGUCCGAGUUGUAAUCUAGAGAANGUGUUACCCNGCGCUGGACCAUGUACAAGUCUCCUGGAAUGGAGCGUCAUAGAGGGUGAGAAUCCCGUCUCUGACAUGGACUACCAGGGCUUUGUGGUAUGCUCUCAAAGAGUCGAGUUGUUUGGGAAUGCAGCUCAAAAUGGGUGGUAAAUUCCAUCUAAAGCUAAAUAUUGGCGAGAGACCGAUAGCGAACAAGUACCGUGAGGGAAAGAUGAAAAGAACUUUGGAAAGAGAGUUAAACAGUACGUGAAAUUGCUGAAAGGGAGACGCUUGAAGUCAGUCUCGUUGGCCGGGGAUCAGCCUCACAAUUUGUGUGGUGUACUUUCUGGUUGAUGGGUCAGCAUCAAUUUUGACUGUUGGAAAAAGGCUUGGGGAAUGUGACAGCUCUGGCUGUGUUAUAGCCCCUUGUCAUAUACAGCAGUUGGGAUUGAGGAACUCAGCACGCCGCAAGGCCGGGUUUCGACCACGUUCGUGCUUAGGAUGCUGGCAUAAUGGCUUUAAGCGA